This 497-nucleotide ribosomal RNA is filed under the name uncultured bacterium. RNAcentral's name for it is "partial 16S ribosomal RNA". It matches the Rfam family "Bacterial small subunit ribosomal RNA", at positions 28 to 507 of the family's 1533-position model. The record is from RNAcentral.
GAUGAACGCUGGCGGCGUGCCUAAUACAUGCAAGUCGAGCGAACAGACGAGGAGCUUGCUCCUCUGACGUUAGCGGCGGACGGGUGAGUAACACGUGGAUAACCUACCUAUAAGACUGGGAUAACUUCGGGAAACCGGAGCUAAUACCGGAUAAUAUAUUGAACCGCAUGGUUCAAUAGUGAAAGACGGUUUUGCUGUCACUUAUAGAUGGAUCCGCGCCGCAUUAGCUAGUUGGUAAGGUAACGGCUUACCAAGGCAACGAUGCGUAGCCGACCUGAGAGGGUGAUCGGCCACACUGGAACUGAGACACGGUCCAGACUCCUACGGGAGGCAGCAGUAGGGAAUCUUCCGCAAUGGGCGAAAGCCUGACGGAGCAACGCCGCGUGAGUGAUGAAGGUCUUCGGAUCGCAAAACUCUGUUAUUAGGGAAGAACAAAUGUGUAAGUAACUAUGCACGUCUUGACGGUACCUAAUCAGAAAGCCACGGCUAACUACGUG